AAAUCACCAGCUGUCCAAAUCACUCACCGGCUGCACCCGCGGAGGGCGGAGCGGAUUGGAUGACGCGCGCAGCCGCAGCAGCAGCAUCAUCGCGCACUUCAAGGCGUCGUCGCUGCUGACGCGGCCGCGGAGGGCGCGGGCCCAGCCCCCACCGCUUUAUAACCGCGCCGACGCCGCCCCCAUCCCACCCCCCACACUCCCCUCCGUUCCGGACUCUGAAGCAGCAGCGGCGGACGGCGGCGCGCGCGUCCCCGUCCCCGUCCCCGUCCCCGUCCCCGUCUCCGUCUCCUCCCGGCGGCGAAUCUCACCAGCAAAUAGACAGAAUCAGACCGGUUCUCGCUGGGUGGGCGCGGCGAGGUUUUUGUUCGGCGGGUUGGGCGUGAUGGCGGUCGCGUCGCGCCUGGCGGUGGUGCGGGUGGUCCAGCCGGACGGCGGCGCGGCGGGCGGGAGCAGGAAGGGGCGGCAGGGGUUCGCGGUGGUCGGGCUCCCCGCGGCGGGGCGGAGGGGGAGGCGGCGAGGCGGGGCCGUGGCGGCCAGCCCCCCCACGGAGGAGGCGGCCAAGCUGACGGAGCCGCUCACCAAGGAGGACCUCGUCGCCUACCUCGCGUCCGGCUGCAAGCCCAAGGAGAACUGGAGAAUUGGCACAGAACAUGAAAAGUUUGGUUUUGAUGUCGAAACAUUGCGCCCUAUAACGUACGAUCAGAUCAGUGCUAUACUCAAUGGGCUGUCUGAGAGAUUUGAAUGGGACAAGAUAAUGGAAGAAAACCAUGUUAUUGGUCUCAAGCAGGGAAAGCAAAACAUUUCACUAGAACCUGGUGGCCAGUUUGAACUUAGUGGCGCUCCCCUCGAAACAUUACAUCAAACUUGUGCGGAGGUCAAUUCACAUCUUUAUCAGGUCAAAGCAGUUGGAGAGGAAUUGGGAGUAGGAUUUCUUGGAAUGGGUUUUCAGCCAAAAUGGGCCCUGGCUGAUAUACCAAUAAUGCCCAAGGGAAGAUAUGAAAUUAUGAGGAAUUACAUGCCUAAAGUUGGUACUCUUGGCCUUGAUAUGAUGUUCCGCACGUGCACUGUACAGGUUAAUCUUGAUUUCAGUUCAGAGCAAGAUAUGAUAAGAAAAUUCCGUGCUAGCCUUGCAUUGCAGCCUAUCGCUACAGCAAUAUUCGCAAAUUCUCCCUUCAAAGAAGGGAAACCAAAUGGGUUUCUCAGUUUAAGAAGCCAUAUCUGGACUGAUACUGAUAACAACCGCUCGGGGAUGCUUCCUUUUGUUUUUGAUGACUCAUUCGGAUUUGAGCAAUAUGUGGACUAUGCAUUGGACGUCCCAAUGUAUUUUGUAUACCGGAACAAGACUUACAUUGACUGUACUGGAAUGUCAUUUCGGGAUUUUAUGGCAGGAAAGCUCCCACAGGUUCCAGGGGAGUUGCCCACUUUGAACGAUUGGGAGAACCAUCUAACAACAAUUUUUCCUGAGGUUAGGUUGAAGAGAUACAUGGAGAUGAGAGGUGCUGAUGGUGGACCUUGGAGGAGAUUGUGUGCUUUGCCUGCAUUUUGGGUUGGGUUGUUGUAUGACGACGAAUCACUACAGAGCAUUAUUGACAUGACUGCUGACUGGACAAAGGAAGAAAGAGAGAUGUUGAGACGGAAGGUCCCAGUAACUGGUUUGAAGACACCAUUCCGGGAUGGGUAUGUAAGAGAUUUAGCUGAAGAUGUUCUCCAGUUAGCUAAGAAUGGAUUAGAAAGAAGAGGAUACAAGGAGGUUGGUUUCCUGAGAGAGGUCGACGAAGUUGUUAGAACAGGAGUGACACCUGCCGAGAAGCUUCUGAAUCUAUACGAGACAAAGUGGCAGCGCAGCGUGGACCCUGUGUUCGAGGAGUUGUUAUAUUGAUACUGAUAUCAUAUAUAACUUCGGUGGACGCUGGACAAGGUGGACAGGGUCUUCAGAUUGUAUCCCCAUACAAAAUCCCGUCCUCAAUUCUACAAGCCACCUGACGAGGGAAGACUAAUUUCUGGUCUUGCGGCUGCGAAUAAUUUUGAGCUCGGAACACUGUGUUGUGGCUUGCCGUCUUUCUUUUUUCAGUUGUGGGGAGCUUUUACAGCUUUUGAUUUUUCUCGCAUCUCCAGGGAGCUGGAACAAACCCCUGUUUGUACCGACUCCCUUUUCAUCUUUCCCUGAUGAACGGCUUGUAUUCGGAAUAAAUCCAUCUCGUGUGAUGAUGGAAGGGGCCUGAUUUCCUGGAAAUAAUUCAGUGUUUGGGAGCAUGUUCAGGUUAAAGUUAUACUCCUCAUUACUUCCUCCGUCCAAAAAGUUUGUCUUAGAUUUAUCUAGAUACGGAUAUAUCUAGACAUGUUUUAGUGUUAAAUUAUUUUGUAUCUCUAGAUAAAUAAGACAAGCUUUUUG
Molecule: ribosomal RNA, 2392 nt
Filed under: Triticum aestivum (bread wheat)
Lineage: Eukaryota; Viridiplantae; Streptophyta; Magnoliopsida; Poales; Poaceae
Description: partial small subunit ribosomal RNA
Source: RNAcentral